AAGACUAUAGACCUGCGGAGUACCUGCGGAGGGAUCAUUAGUGAACGCCCUCACGGGCUUAUAACUAUUCCAAACCUCUGUGAACCGUGCCCUUCGGGGCUAUUUUACAAACAUGGUGUAAUGAACGUCAUAUAUCAUAACAAAGCAAAACUUUCAACAACGGAUCUCU
This 169-nucleotide unclassified non-coding RNA is filed under the name soil metagenome. Its description in RNAcentral is "partial contains 5.8S ribosomal RNA, internal transcribed spacer 2, and large subunit ribosomal RNA". The record is from RNAcentral.